UGCCAGACUCCUACGGGAGGCAGCAGUGGGGAAUAUUGCACAAUGGGGGAAACCCUGAUGCAGCGACGCCGCGUGAGCGAUGAAGUAUUUCGGUAUGUAAAGCUCUAUCAGCAGGGAAGAAAAUGACGGUACCUGACUAAGAAGCCCCGGCUAACUACGUGCCAGCAGCCGCGGUAAUACGUAGGGGGCAAGCGUUAUCCGGAUUUACUGGGUGUAAAGGGAGCGUAGACGGCUGUGCAAGCCAGAUGUGAAAGCCCGGGGCUCAACCCCGGGACUGCAUUUGGAACUGUGUGGCUGGAGUGUCGGAGAGGCAGGCGGAAUUCCUAGUGUAGUGGUGAAAUGCGUAGAUAUUAGGAGGAACACCAGUGGCGAAGGCGGCCUGCUGGACGAUGACUGACGUUGAGGCUCGAAAGCGUGGGGAGCAAACAGGAUUAGAUACCCGUGUA
RNAcentral lists this ribosomal RNA (446 nucleotides) under uncultured bacterium. RNAcentral describes it as "bacterial SSU rRNA". It matches the Rfam family "Bacterial small subunit ribosomal RNA", at positions 329 to 792 of the family's 1533-position model. The record is from RNAcentral.